GUGCCUUUCUUGGGUCCGAUUAUAUUAACGGGAAGGAACGAAGCGCUUUCCUUACAGGUGGCUGUCCAGUUUACCCGGCACCAUUUAUUGAAGAGACUAUCCUUUCUCCAUUGGGCUCAUGAAUGAAUAAAACACACUGCUGUGAAGUCUGUUCAUUAUCUCCUCGAACCCUGUGGUCCACGGAAGCAGUAGCAGAUCCCUUCCCCAAAUACUGUCCUAGUGGCUAAGCGGACACCUGCUGUCCUUGGCCACACGCUUUUCCUACAUGACUGUUUCCCUCAGAAGACAUCACUGAGAGGUCCCCUCUUCUUGGGGUUGCUGUGCAAGGACGUGGGCUGGCCCCAUAUGCACCUGGCCACCAUGCACUGGAGCCUGUGUCAUGCACAGGUCAUGACCAUGUGGCAUGGGAUGGAGGGAGGAUUUUCAUAGGAAGAAGGCUCUCCACAGGGCCUAGCCAGAGGUAAAGGAAGAAAGAUAUCUCUAUAUGAUACCCUGUCCUAUUUGGCUUCCUCCAAAAUAGGUCCUGAGGAUGUAAGUGCUGACAGUUUGUUUGGGAUGUAAUCCCAGGAAGCACUGGUAGUGAGUGGGGCCUGGAGGUGGCUGAUAAAGGCUGUGAUGUGCUAUCAAGCCAUUUGCCUCUGUAGGGAGUCUGGAGUCACCUGCACCCAAGGCAAGGAGCUGGACCACAUGUUUAGCUUUGAAGGAUGGGGAGUGAUGGUAUCUUGAUUGUGGUAGUGGUUCCAUUGGUGUGUACAUCUAUCAAACUUCAUCAAAUUGUACAUUUGAAAUCUGUGUAGUUUACUGUACAGGAACCAUACCACAAUUAAAGUGUUAAAAUAAUAAAAUCAUUAACCCCUGAAAAAUAAAUUACAAUACAGACAAUGGGUGUGGGUACUCCUGGCUUGUCUUGGGCGUGAACUGAGGAUGCCCCCAUGCCCAGAAAAUGGCCUUACCUGAGACUCCUAACAAACUUGAAUUAAUCUGUUAGUCUGAGGUCUUAACAUUUGCAAACAUUCUGAUCAGCCCUCUUUGUUCACCCUGGGGUCACACCCCGGCGUCUCACCCCGGCUAUCAGCUGAGCCUACGACCCUGGGGUCCAGAGCCUCGCAGGGGAGGGGUCAAGUCUGGGGUCUCACUGGGGUCUCACUGCAGCUCAGGCCUCUCCCCUCCCUCUGGUGGGCAGGUCUGGAGUCUUCCCUGACAUUCUCCCACUGCCUUCUGUUCUCAGGCAGGCUUGGACCUGGCUGUUCAGCCCUUCUGCGUUAGCUCCUACCCCUCUCUCUCCCCAUCUGCCUUUCUUCCCAUCUUCCAGCAUAUCCUUGACAUCUCUAGUCUGUGUUGUCCCCACUCAUUCUCUCUGUCCAGGUGAGUUCAUACCUUUAUUGAGUCCACUACUGCAUUUUUGUGAGGCCUUGAAGAGGGCAGAAGUAAACAUGAGUGUUAAAUCUACUAUUUUUAUUGAGUGUGUCUCUUUUUUCCCCUUGGAGAA
Molecule: long non-coding RNA, 1489 nt
Organism: Camelus dromedarius (Arabian camel)
Lineage: Eukaryota; Metazoa; Chordata; Mammalia; Artiodactyla; Camelidae
Exons: 3
Source: RefSeq, a predicted model, not a curated record